RNAcentral lists this ribosomal RNA (319 nucleotides) under uncultured bacterium. RNAcentral's name for it is "bacterial SSU rRNA". It matches the Rfam family "Bacterial small subunit ribosomal RNA", at positions 28 to 334 of the family's 1533-position model. The record is from RNAcentral.
GAUGAACGCUAGCGACAGGCUUAACACAUGCAAGUCGAGGGGCAGCGGGGGUGCAGGCUUGCCUGCACCUGCCGGCGACCGGCGCACGGGUGAGUAACACGUAUGGAACCUGCCCGCCACAGGGGGAUAACCCGGGGAAACCCGGCCUAAUACCCCAUGCCGCCCGGACCGGGCAUCCGGUCCGGGCGAAAGGAGGAAUCCGGUGGCGGCUGGGCAUGCGGCGCAGUAGCGUGACGGCGGGGUAACGGCCCACCGUGGCGACGAUGCGUAGGGGUUCUGAGAGGAAGGCCCCCCACACUGGAACUGAGACACGGUCCAG